ACGGCCGACACUCGGCUAACCGAGAGAUUGGUCGGUUAAUCUAUAUUGAGUAUGCGGCUAUAUGGGCGGUUGGUCUGUUAAUCGGGUUGGUUAUAUGUCUGUUAAGAGUAAAACGCACAAUUUAAUGUCAAAUUCUGUUAAAUAUACAGAUUUUUGGCAUAUUAUAAGAACCAAAUGAAAAAAAGAAAAGUGUCUGACAAAAUAAUAUCUAUCAUAGAACAUUUUCCACCUGUAAAAACAAUUUAUAGUCUGCGCAUUUUUCAGCAAAACUAAAAGGCGUCGCGCAGGUAUGUAGUAUUUAUGCUUAUACGCACAGCAAUUUUUUUAAUAAAAGACGAAAUAAACAGUUUUAGAUAUCAUUUAAAGGACACAAAAAAGUACUUUGGUUCUAAAAAAUAGAUUGAAAUUAGUAAAUAUUUCAUGAAUGUAAUAUAACGUGAAUAAUACCACGUUUUAGUGAAAAUUAUGGGAAUAAAGUCUGUUGAUGGGUUGGACAUUUGAAAUUGUGUCAGUUAAGAGUUAUUUAGCCACGACAAUAGUUUUGCUACCUUUAUAUUUUCCCAUUGAAAAAGUUAAGAAUGAGAUGUUCUUGAGUAAAUAAAAUGACAAUACGGUGCAACAGUAUCCUUCUAGUAAGAGCAUUUUUAUUUUGACUUUCUUUGCAUUUUAUUGAAGGGUGUGUCACUUCAAUUUAGCGUGAUAUAGAUUGGCCGCUGGAAUAUGCAUGCAUUUAUUAUUAACGUUUUCAAUCAGCCUUAAUAUUUGUGUCUGUUCAAAUUAAAGUAGCACGUUCUAAAAUCCGACUGAAGGUGUCUUUCUGAUACAGCACUGGGUACAGAAGAUCUUUUUUUAUUUCCUGUUAUGGGCCCCAAAGGGCAUAAACAUUAGAACAUAAAUAUUUUUCAUAAUACAAUACAAACAAUGAUAUAAAAAAAAUUUAUUGAGAACUAUUCAAGUUCUUAAAGAAUAUGUAGAUAAAGAAUCUAUAAUAUGUGGGUUUUUUUUUUAAAUACUAAUGCAUUUUAAUGCAAGUGUGGUUGAAAUAGGUAACAAACAAGCAACCCAAAAAGAAAAAAGAAAAAAUAGAUAUACAUAUAAAAAAGAAGAUGUGGUAUGAUUGCCAAUGAGACAACUGUCCACAAGAGACCAAAAUGACACAGACAUUAACAACAAUAGGUCACCGUACGGCCUUCAACAAUAAGCAAAGCCCAUACCGCAUACUCAGCUAUAAAAGGCCCCGAAAUGACAAUGUAAAACAAUUCAUACGAGAAAACUAACGGCCUUAUUUAUAUAUAAAAAAAAAUGAACGAAAAACAAAUAUGUAAUAAACAAACGACAACCACUGAAUUACAGGCUCCUGACUUGGGACAGGCACAUACAUGAAUAAUGUGGCUGGGGUUAAACAUGUUAGCGGGAUCCCCCCCUAACCUGGGACAGUGGUAUAACAAUACAACAUAAGAAUACAUGUAUAGUAUAGUACACAAUAAGUUAGAGCAAUUGUUCAAUAUAUACAUAUAACGUGUUGUCGUUCUCAUAUGUACAUGAUAUUUGUCACUGGACGUUCAACCCUAAUUCGUCAGUAUCAUCCAAUUGUUUCUUUUCUUCUAUUACUUGAUCAUAUGUUGUUUACAAAUCAUUCUAAAGAAGUAAAUGGAAAACAUCGAAUGUAGCUACAUUUGGUUAUCUUAAGUUUUAAUUCAUUUUAUUCCGUUUAGUUCCUUUCUACAUAAGUGCAGAAGAGAACUGCAGUUGUCUGCAUGUAAACUUCUAGCAUUUGUCACCAAUUUGAGUACAUCGCAAUCCGUUACUGUUUCAACACCCAUGGGUGUUUCAUGUCUGUAUUCUUAAACAAUUUUUAUUUUUUCUCUCUUUUUUAGCAAUGCACCACUCUCUACUGUCCUUAUCUAUUAUUCUUUAUUCUGCAUCUCCAUUCAGAUUCUCGUGUAUACCAUGAGGGUCCGGAUUUGGGGUGUUGUUUAUUUCUGUAUUCUUUAAAUUGUUAUGCCACUUUUCUCUACAUUUUAUUUAUCUUACUCAUUAUUCUUUCUCUAUUCUUUAUAUUCUAGCAUCCCAAUAUAUUUUACUUACUGAUGUUUAGUUACAUUACGACGUUUGUCUCUAAUUUAAAUGCUUGUUACUAAUGUAGAUGACUUUUGAACAGAAUCCACAAGAUUUGGAUGAAAUUAAUAUUACUUUAAUAUUACACUUUUUGAAACCAUUUUUAUCAAUUUUCAAUUUCUAUUGUCUAAAUUGUUCAUUGUUCAUGUGUUGUUUCCGUAUAUUUUAGCCGUUCGUCUUGAGCCUACCCAUGAUCCGACAACACCCCACAUAGUAGCAAUAAAAUUAUUCCUUUAUUGCCAUUCAUAACUCUUAACAGACCAAUUAACAGACCGAGUUUUAUACAGCCGACCCAUUAACAGACCAGGUUUUAAAUGAAAAUUGAUUAAUGUCACCAAAAUACAGAUUUUCGUGAAGAUUUUUCACACAAUGAUAUUAUUAUGGUUAACAAACAUAAUGUCUGUCUUUUUUUGAUGUUCAAAAUAUUGCAUGCAAGUAAAUUCGAACAAUGUGCCAUUUUGUGUACAUUUUGUGUGUGUAAAAUGUGUAUACAUUUAUUGAUGAGUAAUCCGCCUUUUCAUUUUAUAGAACGUUUAUCGAAGCUAGAAAAAAAAUUAUUACACCACUGGAUUCAGUAAAUUGAAUUGUUUUGUCAGACAUGAAUAUUUUUUAUGAUAAAAAUAUUUUUAAAAAGUUAUACAAUGAAACAUACUAAACUUGCAAUGAUUUUCUCGAUAACACAUGAUUAACAGACUUUAGCCAACCCGAUUAACAGACCAACCGCCGAUAUAGCCGCAUACUCAAUAUAGAUUAACCGAC
This 2877-nucleotide long non-coding RNA is filed under the name Mytilus galloprovincialis (Mediterranean mussel). The record is from RNAcentral. Lineage: Eukaryota; Metazoa; Mollusca; Bivalvia; Mytilida; Mytilidae.